Molecule: transfer-messenger RNA, 397 nt
Filed under: Crocinitomicaceae bacterium
Lineage: Bacteria; Pseudomonadati; Bacteroidota; Flavobacteriia; Flavobacteriales; Crocinitomicaceae
Also listed under: 1 other name
Rfam family: transfer-messenger RNA
About the family: Bacterial tmRNA, also known as 10Sa RNA or SsrA, is named for its dual tRNA and mRNA-like properties. Its role is to liberate the mRNA from a stalled ribosome.
Source: RNAcentral
GGGGCCGACCGGUUUCGACAGCGGGAUGAAGGUCUGUGUAAGCAAGCCGAGCCUUGAAGUGUUGCUCGUAAAUAAGAUGCUUCGACCUUUAAAUGGCGAAAAUAACUACGCUCUCGCUGCGUAAUCAUCACUAAGUGAGAUUUGCUUAAUCCGCUGCAAAAGCAGUAGGACGAGAUGUCUCCGAAGACAGUUUUCCCGACACUGUUUUCUGUUGAGGCACCGAUGAGUUUGGGAUAGGAAAUAAUGAGUCUGGCGUUGUUUCCAAAACUUUACAGACUAAGCUGUAAUUAGGCUGUUUCCGGCUCGAUUGCAGUCGAAAAAUUUACGGAGACUAAGCUUGUAGAAGGCAUGGGGUUUCCCUGUUUGGACGAGGGUUCGAAUCCCUCCGGCUCCACUU